GUCUUGGAGUAUCACAUUGUAUAGGAGGGUUUUUUAUUAGUUCUGACUUUUUCUUUAGCUCUUUGGCUUUUGUUAUAACGUUCUAACAUUUGGUUCUAAUUGGCCAAUGAAAGUUGUUAUUUAGUGGAUGUGUAUAAGUUCUCGUAUAAUGAUGUUUUACAUGAUUCUUCUACUUUGUUCGUUUAACUAUUGUUUCAACUUUAAAAGUUAUACAUGCAGUUCUUAUUUUUCUACUUAUGUUAUUGUAUGAUGCUUAAUUUGACGAAUUUCAAGUUUUUACUUUUUCUUAUA
Molecule: long non-coding RNA, 291 nt
Filed under: Carica papaya (papaya)
Lineage: Eukaryota; Viridiplantae; Streptophyta; Magnoliopsida; Brassicales; Caricaceae
Description: long non-coding RNA (CPAP_LNC012983)
Source: RNAcentral